This 1313-nucleotide long non-coding RNA is filed under the name Homo sapiens (human). RNAcentral's name for it is "HSALNT0275829". The record is from RNAcentral. Lineage: Eukaryota; Metazoa; Chordata; Mammalia; Primates; Hominidae.
GCUGCAGUGUGAGGAGGAAGACGAGUGCCUCAGACCUGAGGAAGGAUGUGGGUGCUGUGUACUCCAUCUCAGCCCUCCUUGCCCAAGCCUGGCAUGCAGGGACUGGAUUUGACCCCAUUUUACAGGCUCACCCGACAGUCCCCGUGUUCCUGCGUUGGCAGGCAGCGCUGACCUGCCCGUGGAAGUGCUCCCUGAGCUGCAAACAGGCUUCCGGCGUGUACCACUGCAAAGAGACAGACAGACGGACACAUCAUCCUGCAAAGCUGUGGCUCCGCCCUCGUAGCCAAGCAGUGAGGGGAGAUGAUCUUCCCAGCCUUCCUUCCUAGGCCUCACAGCUGGCAGCCUCAUUAGCUUUCCCUGACCCAUUUGUCAUGUGUAUCUUCUAUUUCCUCAGCCUUGAGGCUCUGGGGCCUUGUGAGUCCAGAGGGGCGAGCCCAGGCAGGGACUUGGAGAUCUGUGUCUCACCUGGGGCCGCAGUUCCCUUGCUGCAUGCAUGUGACAGGCCUGUCUGCUCUGGGUCUCAACCCUCUCAGGGCGAGACGAGUGGAGCUCUUUUGGUGCCAAGAUCCUCCAAGAUCCAAUUAGCCAGGUGCAGUAGUACAUGCCUGUGGUCCUAGAUACUGAGGAGGCUGAGGUGGAAGGAUUGCUUCAGCUCAAGAGACAGAGGCUGCAGUGAGCUAUGAUCAUGCCACUGCACUCCAACUUGGGUGACAGAGUGAGACCCUGUCUCUAAUCCAUACCUUCUAUGAAUCUCUGAUGACAUUUUGUUUUAAAAACAUGCAUACAUGUGCCUGGAAAAUGUCCUAGGAGGCGCUUUCUGCUGUCCACGUUUCUUGGAAGGCAGACCUGAGCAGUGGUUUAAGAGCAUGGGCCUCAGGGUCAGAAAAAACUGCACGUACCCCACCCACCCUCACCUGGUCUGUAAUUAGAAAAAAAUGAGAUUAAACAAACUAAAGAUGACCAUUAUUUUUUGCCAUUGGAUUGGCCCAGGCUAAAUACAGAAUGUGGCAAGGAUGUGGGGAGAAGGACACCAUUGAGGCUGUUGGUGUGAUCUGUGUAUGGCAAGGGUCCCGCCCCCCGCCCCCCACCCCUGCACAGCCACAGCCACCUGCUCUGUCCCUCUGAACACUGCUUGGAUCCACAGCUCCCCUCCCUCAGCCGCAGUGUCUCAACCAUGGAUUCGGGCUCUGCCUGGCCCAUCUGCCCUCUCAGUUCCAGCUGUGAUUGAGGCAGCAGGGAUGGUGAAAGGAGACUGGCAAAGGGCAAGUUACAGAAACUUAUCGAGCUCCAGUUUCCUUAAAUAUUAAACAGGG